This 1374-nucleotide unclassified non-coding RNA is filed under the name Daphnia magna. Its description in RNAcentral is "e3 SUMO-protein ligase ZBED1-like, transcript variant X2". The record is from RNAcentral. Lineage: Eukaryota; Metazoa; Arthropoda; Branchiopoda; Diplostraca; Daphniidae.
CAUUAUUAGACGAUAAGACGCAAGAUAAGACUCGUUUCUAAAAUUGCACGACCUACCUCAACAGUUUAAAAAUUUUACUGCAUACAAUUUAUCCUACUGACUGAAGACUCUGAAGUCUGAAGUACUAAUUUUGUGAUUUAUCACUGAACUAGAAUAUCCCUUCAAGACUUCAUGAUAUCGAGCAAAUGGGGCGUCCAAAAAUGAAUAAGCCUAUACCAACCAAGAAAGGCCAGAGAGGAAGGCCUCGAAAGAACAAUCCCAAACAUCCAUCAUGUGAGCUCGACAAUGAUGUUGGACAAGAAGUUGAAAAUAUCCCAGAAGAACAGGAUAGUAACAUAAGUGAAGAACAAGACGAGAAUGAAGGAGAGCAAGAUGAAUCAAAUACAACAAUUGGUUCCAACUCAAGUGGAAGUUCAAAACCACCACCUGGUAACCUAAUCUCAAACUUUACAAUCCAAAGCUGGCCCUCUUGGCGUAAGAAAUUUUUUACUAACUGGAGAGAAGACACCAAGAAGGUAUACGCCCAAUGCCUGUUUUGUCAAGAUAAACGUUUUUUUCUCUGGAUCAAAACAAGCUUACACCAACUUUUCAACUCAUUGUUCAAGAGUUCACUGCGAAGAAUGGCAAAAGUUUACAGCACCAGGAACAGUUCGAAAUCAAGGUUCAAUUAAGCCUUUCACUGUUCAAACUACGAUGCAUAAUUCAAGAAAAAACCAGUUAGACGUAGGGCUCACUCGAGUUGUAAGCGAAGGGAAUCUUUCUCUUAACAUCUUAGCAAACAAAACUGUUCGUGAAUGGAUUGAGAUGGCAGUUCCUGGUUACCAUUUGCCCUCGGUUUAUGUAAUGAGAAACUCACUCAUACCACAAAGAUAUGAACAAAUUAAGGAAUACAUCAAGAAGAAACUGUCAUCCUGCACGGCUUUAUCUAUAAUACUAGAUAUUUGGUCAUGUAAGAGUAUGGUCGGUUACAUUGGCUAUACUUGUUCUGGAGUAUUGAAAACAUAUGAGCCGUUCAAGUGCUUCUUAUCAAUUAGACAAGUCAAAGGGAAACAUACUGGUGAAGCAAUUCUUAAUGAAUAUGAAGAUGUCAUACAGGAGUGGGAUAUUCCAAUUUCAAAGAUCGAACUAAAGCUGGUUUGUUUGAAAAGUUACUUUUUCUCAAACAUAAUUCAAAGUUGAUCAAUAACCCUGUGGCCUGUUGAAUGACUUGAAUCUCAUUUCUCAUUGAAUUGAACUCAAUUUUUAAUGAUUGAUCAGUUAAUAAACAAAACUGGACCAGCCAACAAAGAAUAAAAAAUGUCUUUUACCUUUUCUAAAAAAUUACUAUUCACAAACUCACCAGAUAUUAUGCGUAGCUUCACUAGCUUCAGCUUG